This 574-nucleotide long non-coding RNA is filed under the name Pelobates cultripes (western spadefoot toad). Lineage: Eukaryota; Metazoa; Chordata; Amphibia; Anura; Pelobatidae. The record is from RNAcentral.
AUCAUUGUGAGAGAUAGAUAGAGACAUUAUUAGACAGAUCAUUGUGAGAGACAGAGAGACAUUAUUAGACAGAUCAUUGUGAGAGAUAGAGAGACAUUAUUUGACAGAUCCUUGUGAGAGAUAGAGAGGGACAUUAUUAGACAGAUCAUUGUGAGAGAUAGAGAGACAUUAUUAGACAGAUCAUUGUGAGACACAGAGAGACAUUAUUAGACAGAUCAUUGUGAGAGAUAGAGAGACAUUAUUAGACAGACCAUCGUGAGAGAUAGAGAGACAUUAUUAGACAGACCAUCGUGAGAGAUAAAGAGAGACAUUAUUAGACAGAUCAUUGUGAGAGAUAGAGAGGGACAUUAUUAGACAGGUCAUUGUGAGAGAUAGAGAGGGACAUUAUUAGACAGAACACUGUGAGAGAUAGAGAGACAUUAUUAGACAGAUCAUUGUGAGAGAUAGAGAGACAUUAUUAGACAGACCAUCGUGAGAGAUAAAGAGAGACAUUAUUAGACAGAUCAUUGUGAGAGAUAGAGAGGGACAUUAUUAGACAGAUCAUUGUGAGAGAUAGAGAGGGACAUUAUUAGAC